RNAcentral lists this ribosomal RNA (253 nucleotides) under uncultured bacterium. Its description in RNAcentral is "partial 16S ribosomal RNA". It matches the Rfam family "Bacterial small subunit ribosomal RNA", at positions 524 to 776 of the family's 1533-position model. The record is from RNAcentral.
UACGUAGGGUGCAGGCGUUAAUCGGAAUUACUGGGCGUAAAGCGUGCGCAGGCGGUUUGCUAAGACAGGUGUGAAAUCCCCGGGCUUAACCUGGGAACUGCGCUUGUAACUGGCAAGCUAGAGUGUGGCAGAGGGGGGUGGAAUUCCACGUGUAGCAGUGAAAUGCGUAGAUAUGUGGAGGAACACCGAUGGCGAAGGCAGCCCCCUGGGCUAACACUGACGCUCAUGCACGAAAGCGUGGGGAGCAAACAGG